Sus scrofa (pig) is the source of this 75-nucleotide non-coding RNA. The record is from Rfam. Lineage: Eukaryota; Metazoa; Chordata; Mammalia; Artiodactyla; Suidae.
GCCUAUGUAUCUCAGUCAGUAGAGCAUCAGACUUGUAAUCUGAGAGUCCAGAGUUCAAGUUCCUGUCCAGGGGCU